CUAGCAUUAUCCCGUUUUUCACAGGGUCCGCUUACCUAACCUGAAGAUUUGACAGGUCCGGUUUUUUACAGAAGCGACUGCCUGUCUGACCUUCCAACCCGUAGGGUAAACCAGCCCAAAUAGGUUAGGUGACAUACAAGUUAUUUCAACGAAAACGAAUGAAAUCUUUAAUUGAAAUAUUAUUAAAUUGCUGCAUGAUCAAUAAGUCCGUCUGCUGUUCUUUCUAUGUCUAUUGUCUUUUUUUUCUGUAUUUGGUGUCCAUUGUGCUCAAUCAAGUAUUUUAUCUAUCUAUCUUUUAUACAAAACUGUUGAGUCAAAGUUUCGAGGUAUGUCGCCAAACCUGUCGGUAAGUCAGACAGGCAGUCGCUUCUGUAAAACACCGGAUCUGUCAAAUCUUCUGGUUAGAUAAGCAGACCCUGUGAAAAACGGAAUAAUGCUAGGGAGAUGAUGACAUAGUCACAAUGAUUCCAUGUAGAUUUGGUAGAUACUCGCGAUGCCAGCGCAUCUCGGAUUUGUUUCGUGGCACAGACUACGAAAAGUUUAGUUAAGAUUGAAAGGUAUACUUGAAUGUGAUAUUGUAUGAAUAUUGUGCUAAUUAUGUCUUGUUGUAAAUAUGCGUUAUUGUAUGUACCUAAUGUAUGGUUAUAUGAUCAUGAAUAUUUGUCUUCAGAAAUAAAAUUGAAUUUUCUAA
This is a long non-coding RNA of Pectinophora gossypiella (pink bollworm), 691 nucleotides long. RefSeq lists it as uncharacterized. Lineage: Eukaryota; Metazoa; Arthropoda; Insecta; Lepidoptera; Gelechiidae. The record is from RefSeq and is a predicted model, not a curated record. The transcript has 2 exons.